AAUGAACGUUGGCGGCGUGGAUUAGGCAUGCAAGUCGAGCGCUCAUCAGCAAUGGUGGGAGCGGCGAACGGCGUAGUAAGACGUAGGAACGUACCCUCGGGACGGGGAUAGCUAUGGGAAACUGUAGGUAAUACCCGAUAAUCUCUGCGGAGCAAAGGUGUGAUUCCGCCUGGGGAGCGGCUUACGCGAUAUUAGCUAGUUGGUGGGGUAAUGGCCUACCAAGGCGAUGAUGUCUAGGGGGUGUGAGAGCAUGGCCCCCACGACCGGAACUGAGAUACUGUCCGGACACCUACGGGUGGCUGCAGUCGAGAAUCUUCCGCAAUGGACGAAAGUCUGACGGAGCGACGCCGCGUGCGGGAUGAAGGCCCUUGGGUUGUAAACCGCUGUCAGAGGGGAUGAAAUCUUCGGAGGUACUCCUCCGAAGUUGACAGAGCCUCAAAGGAAGCACGGGCUAAGUACGUGCCAGCAGCCGCGGUAACACGUACUGUGCGAACGUUAAUCGGAAUCACUGGGCUUAAAGGGUAUGUA
RNAcentral lists this ribosomal RNA (528 nucleotides) under uncultured Planctomyces sp. Its description in RNAcentral is "bacterial SSU rRNA". It matches the Rfam family "Bacterial small subunit ribosomal RNA", at positions 28 to 573 of the family's 1533-position model. The record is from RNAcentral. Lineage: Bacteria; Pseudomonadati; Planctomycetota; Planctomycetia; Planctomycetales; Planctomycetaceae.